RNAcentral lists this ribosomal RNA (254 nucleotides) under uncultured bacterium. RNAcentral's name for it is "partial 16S ribosomal RNA". It matches the Rfam family "Bacterial small subunit ribosomal RNA", at positions 524 to 777 of the family's 1533-position model. The record is from RNAcentral.
UACGAAGGGGGCUAGCGUUAUUCGGAAUUACUGGGCGUAAAGCGCACGUAGGCGGAUAUUUAAGUCAGGGGUGAAAUCCCAGAGCUCAACUUUGGAACUGCCUUUGAUACUGGGUAUCUUGAGUAUGGAAGAGGUAAGUGGAAUUGCGAGUGUAGAGGUGAAAUUCGUAGAUAUUCGCAGGAACACCAGUGGCGAAGGCGGCUUACUGGUCCAUUACUGACGCUGAGGUGCGAAAGCGUGGGGAGCAAACAGGG